RNAcentral lists this ribosomal RNA (213 nucleotides) under Citrobacter freundii. RNAcentral describes it as "partial 23S ribosomal RNA". It matches the Rfam family "Bacterial large subunit ribosomal RNA", at positions 2718 to 2925 of the family's 2925-position model. The record is from RNAcentral. Lineage: Bacteria; Pseudomonadati; Pseudomonadota; Gammaproteobacteria; Enterobacterales; Enterobacteriaceae.
GGGUUGUCAUGCCAAUGGCAUUGCCCGGUAGCUAAAUGCGGAAGAGAUAAGUGCUGAAAGCAUCUAAGCACGAAACUUGCCCCGAGAUGAGUUCUCCCUGAGACUUUAAGUCUCCUGAAGGAACGUUGAAGACGACGACGUUGAUAGGUCGGGUGUGUAAGCGUAGCGAUACGUUGAGCUAACCGAUACUAAUGAACCGUGAGGCUUAACCUU